Molecule: small nuclear RNA, 112 nt
Organism: Arabidopsis thaliana (thale cress)
Lineage: Eukaryota; Viridiplantae; Streptophyta; Magnoliopsida; Brassicales; Brassicaceae
Source: Rfam
GUGUUCAUAGAAAGGAGAGAUGGUUGGCAUCUCCUCUGACAGAGACGGGGUUGACCUUCGGGUCCUGACCUUAAGGCUCUCCACUUUCGAGUGGAUCUAACCCAUUUUUUUU